GGUUAAGCGACUAAGCGUACACGGUGGAUGCCCUGGCAGUCAGAGGCGAUGAAGGACGUGCUAAUCUGCGAUAAGCGUCGGUAAGGUGAUAUGAACCGUUAUAACCGGCGAUUUCCGAAUGGGGAAACCCAGUGUGAUUCGUCACACUAUCAUUAACUGAAUCCAUAGGUUAAUGAGGCGAACCGGGGGAACUGAAACAUCUAAGUACCCCGAGGAAAAGAAAUCAACCGAGAUUCCCCCAGUAGCGGCGAGCGAACGGGGAGGAGCCCAGAGCCUGAAUCAGUGUGUGUGUUAGUGGAAGCGUCUGGAAAGGCGCGCGAUACAGGGUGACAGCCCCGUACACAAAAAUGCACAUGCUGUGAGCUCGAUGAGUAGGGCGGGACACGUGGUAUCCUGUCUGAAUAUGGGGGGACCAUCCUCCAAGGCUAAAUACUCCUGACUGACCGAUAGUGAACCAGUACCGUGAGGGAAAGGCGAAAAGAACCCCGGCGAGGGGAGUGAAAAAGAACCUGAAACCGUGUACGUACAAGCAGUGGGAGCCUCUUUAUGGGGUGACUGCGUACCUUUUGUAUAAUGGGUCAGCGACUUAUAUUCUGUAGCAAGGUUAACCGAAUAGGGGAGCCGAAGGGAAACCGAGUCUUAACUGGGCGUUAAGUUGCAGGGUAUAGACCCGAAACCCGGUGAUCUAGCCAUGGGCAGGUUGAAGGUUGGGUAACACUAACUGGAGGACCGAACCGACUAAUGUUGAAAAAUUAGCGGAUGACUUGUGGCUGGGGGUGAAAGGCCAAUCAAACCGGGAGAUAGCUGGUUCUCCCCGAAAGCUAUUUAGGUAGCGCCUCGUGAAUUCAUCUCCGGGGGUAGAGCACUGUUUCGGCAAGGGGGUCAUCCCGACUUACCAACCCGAUGCAAACUGCGAAUACCGGAGAAUGUUAUCACGGGAGACACACGGCGGGUGCUAACGUCCGUCGUGAAGAGGGAAACAACCCAGACCGCCAGCUAAGGUCCCAAAGUCAUGGUUAAGUGGGAAACGAUGUGGGAAGGCCCAGACAGCCAGGAUGUUGGCUUAGAAGCAGCCAUCAUUUAAAGAAAGCGUAAUAGCUCACUGGUCGAGUCGGCCUGCGCGGAAGAUGUAACGGGGCUAAACCAUGCACCGAAGCUGCGGCAGCGACGCUUAUGCGUUGUUGGGUA
This 1188-nucleotide ribosomal RNA is filed under the name Escherichia coli. Its description in RNAcentral is "partial 23S ribosomal RNA". It matches the Rfam family "Bacterial large subunit ribosomal RNA", at positions 1 to 1230 of the family's 2925-position model. Lineage: Bacteria; Pseudomonadati; Pseudomonadota; Gammaproteobacteria; Enterobacterales; Enterobacteriaceae. The record is from RNAcentral.